AUUGAACGCUGGCGGCAUGCCUUACACAUGCAAGUCGAACGGCAGCACGGGGGCAAUCCUGGUGGCGAGUGGCGAACGGGUGAGUAAUAUAUCGGAACGUGCCCAGUCGUGGGGGAUAACGUAGCGAAAGCUACGCUAAUACCGCAUACGAUCUAUGGAUGAAAGGCGGGGGAUCGCAAGACCUCGCGCGAUUGGAGCGGCCGAUAUCAGAUUAGGUAGUUGGUGAGGUAAAGGCUCACCAAGCCGACGAUCUGUAGCUGGUCUGAGAGGACGACCAGCCACACUGGGACUGAGACACGGCCCAGACUCCUACGGGAGGCAGCAGUGGGGAAUUUUGGACAAUGGGCGCAAGCCUGAUCCAGCAAUGCCGCGUGCAGGAUGAA
This 383-nucleotide ribosomal RNA is filed under the name uncultured bacterium. Its description in RNAcentral is "bacterial SSU rRNA". It matches the Rfam family "Bacterial small subunit ribosomal RNA", at positions 30 to 412 of the family's 1533-position model. The record is from RNAcentral.